GAUGAACGCUGGCGGCGUGCCUAAUACAUGCAAGUCGAGCGAACAGACGAGGAGCUUGCUCCUCUGACGUUAGCGGCGGACGGGUGAGUAACACGUGGAUAACCUACCUAUAAGACUGGGAUAACUUCGGGAAACCGGAGCUAAUACCGGAUAACAUGUUGAACCGCAUGGUUCAACAGUGAAAGACGGUUUUGCUGUCACUUAUAGAUGGAUCCGCGUCGCAUUAGCUAGUUGGUAAGGUAACGGCUUACCAAGGCAACGAUGCGUAGCCGACCUGAGAGGGUGAUCAGCCACACUGGAACUGAGACACGGUCCAGACUCCUACGGGAGGCAGCAGUAGGGAAUCUUCCGCAAUGGGCGAAAGCCUGACGGAGCAACGCCGCGUGAGUGAAGAAGGUCUUCGGAUCGUAAAGCUCUGUUAUUAGGAAAGAACAAAUGUGUAAGUAAAUAUGCACGUCUUGACGGUACCUAAUCAGAAAGCAACGGCUAACUACGUG
RNAcentral lists this ribosomal RNA (497 nucleotides) under uncultured bacterium. RNAcentral's name for it is "partial 16S ribosomal RNA". It matches the Rfam family "Bacterial small subunit ribosomal RNA", at positions 28 to 507 of the family's 1533-position model. The record is from RNAcentral.